AAAAUGAAAUAUUACGCUGAUUUAUUUUGCGUAAUAUUAUUAUGACUUCUAAGUACGCACAAAAUUAUUAUGGGAAAUAGUAAAUAUAUAUAAUAUUAUCUCCAAUAUUACGAACAAUUUGAUGAGACCUUCAAUUUCAUCACUAUUUUGUCUCAUCAAUGACUAAUGUACAAUACAUCCAAAUCCAUACAAUCAUUAGUGAAUAAAGAAAUAUCAAGCACAAGGCUACCAUAAACAAUAACCAUAUGACAUUAUCUCAUAUCGUGUGGAAAUAGAUUGUACUAUCCAAUUUGUUUAGUCCCAUUAUCUUCAUACAAACUGUAUUCCCAAGAUGAGACUUCAGCAAAUAUUAUGCUUUGCGAAGACCCGACAAUCGAAUACAGAUUUCACAGAAAACUGAGUCUUCCGGUUUGUUUGUCGGAACCACGUUAGCACUUGAGUGCCACUGAACAGUUCAACUUUACUGUGCAAAUUAUUAUUAGUGGAUGUUUAUUUUGAAAUUUAUGCAACGCAUUUUUACCGAAGUAAACCCUUACCAUUACCAUGAUCACAGCUUACUCUCAAGACGAUCAGCAGCUAAAAUGAAAUCGGAUAUUUCAAAUACAUCCCGUAC
Long non-coding RNA from Hyposmocoma kahamanoa, 613 nucleotides. RefSeq lists it as uncharacterized. NCBI's taxonomy places the organism in Eukaryota, Metazoa, Arthropoda, Insecta, Lepidoptera, Cosmopterigidae. The record is from RefSeq and is a predicted model, not a curated record. The transcript is spliced from 3 exons.